RNAcentral lists this ribosomal RNA (377 nucleotides) under uncultured bacterium. Its description in RNAcentral is "bacterial SSU rRNA". It matches the Rfam family "Bacterial small subunit ribosomal RNA", at positions 28 to 400 of the family's 1533-position model. The record is from RNAcentral.
GAUGAACGCUAGCGGCAGGCCUAACACAUGCAAGUCGAACGGUAACAGGAAGAGCUUGCUCUUCGCUGACGAGUGGCGCACGGGUGCGUAACGCGUAUGCAACUUACCCCUAACUGGAGAAUACCCUUUAGAAAUGAAGAUUAAUACUCCAUAAUAUUUCAGAUUGGCAUCAAUUUGAUCUUAAAGCUUUGGCGGUUAGGGAUAGGCAUGCGUCCUAUUAGUUUGUUGGUGAGGUAACGGCUCACCAAGACUACGAUAGGUAGGGGGUCUGAGAGGAUUACCCCCCACACUGGUACUGAGACACGGACCAGACUCCUACGGGAGGCAGCAGUGAGGAAUAUUGGUCAAUGGACGAAAGUCUGAACCAGCCAUGCCGC